GUUUCAGUCAGAUCAGGCUGUUUUACAGUCAACAGCAGGUGGAGGAAAACGAGACUGACUGAAGUCCAGAAGAUGAGUGAUUGUGUUGAGGAAGGAGAGGACGGAGCAGAGUCUCCAGGAUCCAGCUGUCCGUCUGAACCUCCAGACUUCAGUAAUGAACCUGGACCCUCAGACACAGAAGGGAGAAAGAGGAGUCUUCUGUGGAGGAGCAGCUGUCCUGCUGUACUCUGUGUCAGGACCUCCUGAAGGAUCCAGUCUCUACCAGCUGUGGACACUGCUUCUGCAGGCAGUGCAUCACCUCAUACUGGGACCAGUCUGGUUCAUCAGGAGACUCCUCCUGUCCCCAGUGUGGCAAAAGAUCCAGAACAAGAUCUCUACUGCAGACAAUCAGUCCGACCAGCACUGUACAAAAUCUGCAGGAGGUUUUAGAUGAACAUAAGAUCAGCCUGAGGAGGAGAUGUGAACGUGUGACUGAAGGAACUGAUGAAACAGGAAGUAGAACCCUCCUCAACAAGAUCUACACUGAGCUCUACAUCACAGAGGGACGGAGUGAAGAGGUUAAUACCCAACAUGAGGUGACUCUGUUGUCAAACUGUACCCAACUACAGCAGACAGGAAGCCGGAUGUCUCUGAAGACAACACAGAGCUGAUGAAGCCCCCAUCAAGCUUCACACCUGAACAGCAAACUGAAUCUGCACAAGUCUCAUACAGUCCGUCUCACUGAAGACACAAGGAGAGAUGUAGAGAAAGACAUGAGGAGAGAGGAAUCAAGGAAAGUCCUGAGUCCUUUCCUCUUGAACCCUCAUCUGAAGCGACAUCUGAUGAUGACAGCACAGCUGGAUCAGCUUGUCUUUUCUUGAUUUGGACUUUGUAUUUGCAUAUACAUGCACAGUCCAAUAACGACACUGACCAGCCUUUCAAAGGCCUGGUCCAAACAAUCUUCCCAAGAACCGUCAGGUCCAGCAUCAUGAUUUGUCAGGUGAAUACAGAGCAUGAUGUCCAGUCUCAUGGUGGAAGAGGGACUUUACCUGUCUCUCCAGGUCUGCUGCCAGCCUCUCCCUCAAAGUCAACUGGUUACAACCAGCUGCGGCCCUCAGAGAAUAAGCAGUAUAGCUCACAGAUAAUUGAUGCUUUCCCUUCUACUACUCUGCAUCUCCAGGCUGCUCACAAGAGCCUCCACAGGCACAGCAAAGACACACACACACACACACUAAGAUGUUCAACCAAUAUUUAUGCCUAAUAGUCUUGACUGAGCACAAAUAGCAUCACUGAUGUUUAUGUGUGCUCACUUAAAAAGCCACUGCAGCAACAAUACAGAUGUUACAUGCACUGACUACUGGGUGGUGGCUUUGGUAUGUGAUUUCAAAACUAAGCGGAAACUCCAGUUGUUUCUGUUGUUUGCCUACACUUUCUCUCCUUUGUUCUCUGGUCCCUCUGGACUCGUGAAGUCUGAUCAGCACAGUUUUUAGCCCAAGCUAAAACAUUUUCAUCUCAGGGUUUAACAGGUUUGUUGUGGUCACUCAGUCAUCUGUGUCCUGCAGGUUCAGGUGUCCUAGUCCAGGUGGGUUCCAGUGUACUUCGACAGGACUGGUGUUUGUUGUGGAUCAGGAGGUGGAGCUGCUCUACAGGACCGUCCAAUGGGACGUGAGCCUCCUCUAGUCAGCUGGCAAGACACCUGCAGGGCCUCUGUUCAAUAUCCAGUGUCCUGAGGGUGCUGUCUGCGAGCUCCACCUCCCACACUGUGAAACAAAGGAUGCGUUGCUCAUGUGGUUGUGAAGGUCCCUCACCUCUCUGCCUUUGGCCUGGUCUGGGAUAUGAUUAAACGGUUUUUGAACAUCACACUGCCAGUAGAGGGUCAAGUUCUGCUGUUCCUGCGACCUCCCGGCUCCUCCAGUUCCCGGUAUUCUUGGGCAAGAUACUGAACCACAUAUUGUCCCUGAUGUAGCAUCAGAAAAUGAAGAAUAGUGUGUAUGUGUUAGAGGGACACUGUAUAUAUAUGUAUAUAUAUAUAACAGCUUGGUCAGUCUAACUGACUGGCCUUCCAACCAUCUUAACCGGUUUGACCAGCUGGGCUUUGCUGGUCAGUCCACGCAGCCACUUGGCCAGUCAGCUUGACCAGCAGACUCAAGCAAGACCAGUUUGGUGACCAGCCAGGCCAGCUAUUCUAAGGAAACAGCAAGACCAGCCUGACCAGCUUCUCCAGCCUGUUAAACCAGCUAAACUAGCCUAACACUAGCUAAGACCAGCUAAAACCAGCAAACACCUUAAGCUGGCCUAAGCAGGUCUUUUAUGUGAAUAUAAACUCUGAGGAUUUGGUAGUUAAUAAAUUCAGUCACAUUAUUGAUCUUGCAUCUCUGAAAGAAUGAAAUAAAAAAUUGCAACAAUUACAAAGCAAACUAAAAUAAAAUCAGUCUGUUCAAGUGAUACUGAUUAUUUAUUAAUUCAGUCAUUUCUAGUUGGUCUUAUGCAAAUUUCAUAAGAACCACCUGUCAAUUUCAUCUUCAUACUGUAUAUUUAUUGAAGCUAUUUAUCUUUGUAGUGAUGUCUCACUGUGCUCACAAUUUCUGUGACUAACUCAGCACCUGCUGAUGUCUCACUCUGCUCCAAAUUUAGUUAAAAGAUGUUUAUCUCACAGCUUUUGGCACGCUUCAUAAUAAAUCAGAUGAAUCUUCACUAACAAUAAAACUACAGAUGGAAAAACCCAGAAAUGGGAGAGAAAGAGAGAGAGAGAGAGAGAGAGAGA
Molecule: long non-coding RNA, 2743 nt
Organism: Lates calcarifer (barramundi perch)
Lineage: Eukaryota; Metazoa; Chordata; Actinopteri; Centropomidae
Exons: 8
Source: RefSeq, a predicted model, not a curated record